Cercocebus atys (sooty mangabey) is the source of this 481-nucleotide long non-coding RNA. RefSeq lists it as uncharacterized. The transcript is spliced from 3 exons. NCBI's taxonomy places the organism in Eukaryota, Metazoa, Chordata, Mammalia, Primates, Cercopithecidae. The record is from RefSeq and is a predicted model, not a curated record.
UCAGAGAUACCUGUUAGAGGCUUCGAAGAGACAUGCUUAUCCACAGAUUAGUUCCUUUACUUAUCUUGUCCUGUGCUCAAUCUGGGAAUCAGCACAGAUCUCAUUGCAGAGGAUUUGCUUGUAACUCCAAGUUGAUGUUUCAAAUUGAUUGAUCAAAAUUAUCCCUGAAAACCACCUCUGCGAAAGCUUCCUGCUGGAGACCCACCUACUAUGUGUACUGCUUCUCUAGAUUUAUUUUUCUUAGUAAAGUUCCUUGGAGAAAAUGGAAACCCAUCUCAGAAGAGUGAAGUAAUAACAAAAUGCAAGAGCUGCUAUUUUUUGAGCGUCUAAUCUGUACCAAGCACCAUGGUAGACACAGAAAGGAAAGUAAGUGACACAAGGACCUCAAAGUACAACACAUCACACAUAUACAGAAAAUGAAAAACUUGGAGCAGAAGGUCAGAAAUAUAAGAAAAGACAGUAAAAGAUAAUUUUCUUAAAA